Syngnathus acus (greater pipefish) is the source of this 1143-nucleotide long non-coding RNA. RefSeq lists it as uncharacterized. The transcript has 3 exons. The record is from RefSeq and is a predicted model, not a curated record. Lineage: Eukaryota; Metazoa; Chordata; Actinopteri; Syngnathiformes; Syngnathidae.
GCUGCUCAAAGGGGGAAAGUGUAAGAUCAUCUCUGCAGAUAAAACUGUGCCAUGACCUCAACAAAUGUAUCUAUAAAUAACAUAAUUUAAAAAGAAAACAAGACCAAGCCCUUUUAUCAUAUAUAUGGGGUUGAUGUAUUGCAAAUUUGAAGAACACGCUGUGUACCCAAUAGGAGAAACCGGUGCUGCCUUUGUUUUGCUCUUACUCUUGUACAGUAGGUACAACAGUUCCAUUAUUACAGGUGGGGUAAAAACACUCAACUAAUGUUUCACAGCAAUUUGAUAAAAAAAAACUAACAAGAUGUCACAUUUGUGCAUGUUUUGGGAAGUGAGUCACUCACUUUGAAGCACAACACUGUGCAGAAACACCGUUCCAUUUUUGUUGUUCCUCUUUUGGAGCAACUGUAUUAUACUGUCUUGCAUUCCAUGCAUUUAAGAUUUCCAAUUACGCACAUGCUGCUAGCUAGGCUAAUGCGCUGCAUUGAGGAAAGCAUCUGGCACUAGGCCAGACAAGGAUACAUCGAAAUAUCACCAGCUUGUCAAUCAAGCAACACAGUUUGACUGCUUUACCUUUGGUGAGAGGAUGUUGGGACAAACUGCUCUCUGCUUGUUAAUCCCGGCUCAGAGUGCCACUAGGCCGUCUCAUCCUCUAGCGAACUGGAGCCUUAAGGAGAGAGACACAGUGCAGCUGUCUGGCAUGAUCAAGGUGCAGCCCCUACAGGCAGCCAAUAGCCACCUCACCUGGUGGAGGAAUUUCACAGUUGAAUACACUGUAGGUUGCAGCAGGGAGACAUGAAAAACAAGCAGAACAACGUCCCCUGAGAACAUGCCUGAUCUAGUGAAUGCAGAAUGCAUAUCGCAGCCAGUAGACAGCGACGUGCAUUCAGGGUAGGCAAGUGAGGCACUGCAAGUGUCCUGUUCUCAAGUGUUGGCCACAACUACAGUAAGUGAAAAGCAAAUAUUACAUCUUUUGCAAUGUCACAUACAUUUCAUCUGCACAUUCAUAACCGUUUUUGUUAGAGCCUGUGUUACAGAUAUUGGCUCAGUCGUAAGAUCUCUCUGCAUAGAGCAAUGGGUGGAAAAAAAGUAUGUGUAAAGAAGAAAUUUGGUACAAAAAAACAACGCAGGGACACAAUGUUCUUU